UUAAAGCUAUAGAAGAGAAGAGUAGCGAUGUGGGGAGAAAAAAGCGAGAGAGCGUUGGUGUGAGGCUCUCAUGAAACCUUAUUGUGAAAGACAUCUCGGAAGUGUCACCUUGAAAUGAGUAGGGGUGAACGGUUAUCCUCCGUUAUAGGGACCUAAGAAUAAAUAGGAUGGCACCGUGAAACCUUCACUCCUUUGGACGUGAGGGUUUUUCUAUUUAAACCAAGGGUGGUACCGCGUUAAUUCGCCCCUUGA
RNAcentral lists this non-coding RNA (252 nucleotides) under Fusibacter sp. RNAcentral describes it as "T-box sequence". It matches the Rfam family "T-box leader". From Rfam's summary of the family: Uncharged tRNA acts as the effector for transcription antitermination of genes in the T-box leader family. T-boxes are found upstream of many aminoacyl-tRNA synthetase genes and some amino acid biosynthetic genes usually in Gram-positive bacteria. The anticodon of a specific tRNA base pairs to a specifier sequence within the T-box motif, and the NCCA acceptor tail of the tRNA base pairs to a conserved bulge in the T-box antiterminator hairpin. The record is from RNAcentral. Lineage: Bacteria; Bacillati; Bacillota; Clostridia; Eubacteriales; Fusibacteraceae.